RNAcentral lists this ribosomal RNA (245 nucleotides) under uncultured bacterium. RNAcentral describes it as "partial 16S ribosomal RNA". It matches the Rfam family "Bacterial small subunit ribosomal RNA", at positions 524 to 768 of the family's 1533-position model. The record is from RNAcentral.
UACGUAGGGUGCGAGCGUUAAUCGGAAUUACUGGGCGUAAAGCGUGCGCAGGCGGUUAUGUAAGACAGGCGUGAAAUCCCCGAGCUUAACUUGGGAAUUGCGCUUGUGACUGCAUAGCUAGAGUGUGUCAGAGGGGGGUAGAAUUCCACGUGUAGCAGUGAAAUGCGUAGAGAUGUGGAGGAAUACCAAUGGCGAAGGCAGCCCCCUGGGAUAACACUGACGCUCAUGCACGAAAGCGUGGGGAG